AUUGAACGCUGGCGGCAGGCCUAACACAUGCAAGUCGAGCGGAUGAAGGGAGCUUGCUCCUGGAUUCAGCGGCGGUCGGGUGAGUAAUGCCUAGGAAUCUGCCUGGUAGUGGGGGAUAACGUCCGGAAACGGGCGCUAAUACCGCAUACGUCCUGAGGGAGAAAGUGGGGGAUCUUCGGACCUCACGCUAUCAGAUGAGCCUAGGUCGGAUUAGCUAGUUGGUGGGGUAAAGGCCUACCAAGGCGACGAUCCGUAACUGGUCCGAGAGGAUGAUCAGUCACACUGGAACUGAGACACGGUCCAGACUCCUACGGGAGGCAGCAGUGGGGAAUAUUGGACAAUGGGCGAAAGCCUGAUCCAGCCAUGCCGCGUGUGUGAAGAAGGUCUUCGGAUUGUAAAGCACUUUAAGUUGGGAGGAAGGGCAGUAAGUUAAUACCUUGCUGUUUUGACGUUACCAACAGAAUAAGCACCGGCUAACUUCGUG
This 484-nucleotide ribosomal RNA is filed under the name uncultured bacterium. RNAcentral describes it as "partial 16S ribosomal RNA". It matches the Rfam family "Bacterial small subunit ribosomal RNA", at positions 30 to 507 of the family's 1533-position model. The record is from RNAcentral.